CGCCUACGGGACGCAGCAGUUAGGAAUAUUCAUCAAUGGGGGAAACCCUGAACGAGCAAUGCCGCGUGAAGGAUGACGGUCCUAUGGAUUGUAAACUUCUGUUGUUAGGGAAGAACGACCUAAGUAGGAAAUGACUUAGGAGUGACGGUACCUUUCAAGAAAGCUCCGGCUAACUACGUGCCAGCAGCCGCGGUAAUACGUAGGGAGCGAGCGUUAUCCGGAUUUAUUGGGCGUAAAGAGGGAGCAGGCGGCAGCAAAGGUCUGUGGUGAAAGACUGAAGCUUAACUUCAGUAAGCCAUAGAAAC
This 305-nucleotide ribosomal RNA is filed under the name uncultured bacterium. RNAcentral describes it as "bacterial SSU rRNA". It matches the Rfam family "Bacterial small subunit ribosomal RNA", at positions 336 to 633 of the family's 1533-position model. The record is from RNAcentral.